CUCAGUAUAUAUGGGAGUUGAUCAAAAUUGGAUUUGUUUUCUAAUUCUUUGUGUAUCUGUGUAAUCACACACAUAGCAUUAUGCAAUGUUAAAGCUUCCUGAGUAGAUAGACAGAUCAGCAGAGGUACCCCCCCAUCACCCACACCCCAGUAUGCCAUCUCCUCCAGCUAUCUCUAUAAUGGUAAGAGUCCUUUCCUCUCCACCCUGCCGUCUCUAGCUAUCUCUAUAAUGGUAAGAGUCCUUUCCUCUCCACCCGGCCGUCUCUAGCUAUCUCUAUAAUGGUAAGAGUCCUUUCCUCUCCACCCGGCCGUCUCCUCCAGCUAUCUCUAUAAUGGUAAGGUCCUUUCCUCUCCACCCGGCCGUCUCCUCCAGCUAUCUCUAUAAUGGUAAGAGUCCUUUCCUCUCCACCCGGCCGUCUCUAGCUAUCUCUAUAAUGGUAAGAGUCCUUUCCUCUCCACCCGGCCGUCUCCAGCUAUCUCUAUAAUAGCUCUGCUUUGUCUUUUUAAAAUGGCAGCUGGAACCCACAGGCUUCCCAACAUUCCAAAGCUCCAAACUGAUUGGCUCUUCAUUAAAAUAUUUGACUAUAUUCAAAUCACAGUUUGGGAACAAUCACUGUGGUGGAUUAACUUUGUGUUUCAAUGGUGAGACAGAGGAGAUGUCAUCAUAUGUUCAUGUCCAAAUUACAUAAUUUGAGAAUAAGAUGCAAAGUUGAUCUGAAGACAAAGUUAGAGUCCUUUCCAUUUUGAACAAUCACUACAUUCCCUGCGUAGGUAGCAGACCUGUGCUGAACACAUUCCCUGGGUAGGUAGCAGACCGGUGCUGAACACAUUCCCUGCUUAGGUAGCAGACCGGUGCUGAACACAUUCCCUGCUUAGGUAGCAGACCGGUGCUGAACACGUUCCCUGUGUAGGUAGCAGACCGGUGCUGAACACGUUCCCUGCGUAGGUAGCAGACCGGUGCUGAACACGUUCCCUGCGUAGGUAGCAGAGGUGCUGAACACUGACAUAGUGAUUGGAGAGACAGACUAUAGAUCCUACACAGUGUUUUACUACCAGAAACAGGGACAGUUCAACUCCUACAAAAAUGUCCAUUAAUUAUAAUCUACAUAAUCAUUCAAAUUUCCUGUUGCGUAAAUUAUGAUCCAUGUGUACAUAUAUGAAAUUAGAAGAUUUAUUUUCCUUAGUUAUGUAUAUUAAAACAAUAAUGUUGAAAUUGAUUUGACUCUCUUUUUUAAAUGUGUUGCCAGUGUGUGGAUAAGGACCAUGUGAUCAGUGAGUAUCCAAUUUAACAACGUUUGUCCAGCCAUUGGUAGUGGAGACCAUAUUAAAUAUUGUGCGUCGUGGAGCGCAAACUACAGCGAUAUGAUAUAGACAAUAGACUUCUUCUAGAGUUUGUUUGGUGAGUAGUGGUGACAUGAGGACGGAUUCUCUGGAUUUUAUUAGAAUGCAGUGCUGCGUUUGUAGAGGGAGGCACGAGAGAGACGCAGAUCCGUGGAAAAGGCACAUACCUACCUGUCAGGCACAGAGGUCAAUGUGUUUUUUUAAAUGGAUAUUAUGUCGAUAUUCGUUAGCUCUUAAACAAACGAUGCCUUGACUAAGGUAAUUAUAUAUUCUGGAUCAGGGGCGGAUGGAGAACAAUCCAUGCUUUAAAAAAAUAUAUUUAAAAAAAAAAUGUUAUUUGCAUUUCAAUCUUCAAUACCUUUUAAACAAAGUGUGCCACAACUAUGAAAAUGAUAUAAGGCCUAAUCUGAAUCAGGAGAGGAUGGAGCACAAUCCACACCUUUUUGUUGUUGAUUAUUUUUGUUGUUGAUUAUUUUUAUUUGUAAACGUUUUACUAGGAUUUGAAGCCCUCCUUCCUUCUGCCCAGUUUCCCUGAUGUUGCUACGGCAAUCAAGCUGUUUCUACCAUCCCUGUAACUGUCGCUUCAUUUUCUGAACUAAAACUCAUAAAGAACUAUCUAAGAGGCAUUAGGCUCUCGGUCUGAUAUUCGCUUUUGAACACCUGAAUAAGCUCCACUCAUUGCACUGGUGCCAUCGUAGCCUUGACCAUAGCAUUUGUUCACGGAUAUCCCCUUAUACGUUUAAUCAAAAGUAUGUCAAGUCCUGAGGCACUUUUUUCAGUCAUGUUCCUGAAACAAACACUUUGUUUCCUACUACAUCUGGAAAUGUAAAAUAUUUAUGAAUGACUUUAGGGAGGAUUACUGUCAAAAUGAUUUACUGAAUUGAUAAAAUCACAUCCAUGACAGGCGCAUGGGCCCCCAGAGCUCGUGGCCUCGCGCCUUGCGGGUGUGUCCAGUACGUCAUGCACGUCAUCAGUAUACAAUUUCAAAACUUCGUCCAGACAUUGGUAGCUAUGAAACCUUAUCAACGGCUGUGCAUCGUGGAGCUUAAAUCAGUCUACUUUAGAAUGGAUUCACAACAUAUAGGCUACAACCAUAUGAAUAUAGACGAUAGACUUCUUAUACAGUAGGCUGAGUAGCGGUGACAUGUAGACGGAUUCUCUGGGUGGUGUUGGGAUGCGCUGCAGAGUUGCAUCUGUAGAGGGAGGAACGACAGAGAUGCAGAUCGGUGGAAAAGGCACCGAGGUAAAAUGUAUUUUAUACUGAGGUAAAAGUAGUUUUAUACGGAAUAUUCCGUGGAUAUUAAUUUUUCUCGCAUAACUAGCUAUUGAACCAAUCAUGCCAUGACUAUGAAAAUUGUAUAUUCUGAAUCUGGGGG
This is a non-coding RNA of Salvelinus sp. IW2-2015, 2716 nucleotides long. Lineage: Eukaryota; Metazoa; Chordata; Actinopteri; Salmoniformes; Salmonidae. The record is from RefSeq and is a predicted model, not a curated record.